AAGCGGAGGAGCAGUUGUGGUUUAAUUCGAUGAUACGCGAGGAACCUUACCUGGGCUCGAACGUAAGAUGACUGUAGGUGAAAGCUUACAUCUCUUCGGAGCAUUUUACGAGGUGCUGCAUGGUUGUCGUCAGCUCGUGCCGUGAGGUGUCGGGUUAAGUCCCAUAACGAGCGCAACCCCUACCUUUAGUUGCCAUCAGGUUAAGCUGGGGACUCUAAAGGAACUGCCUACGCAAGUAGUGAGGAAGCGGGGAUGACGUCAAAUCAGCACGGCCCUUACGUCCAGGGCUACACACGUGCUACAAUGGCCGAUACAGAGGGCAGCUACCUGGUGACAGGAUGCAAAUCUCCAAAGUCGGUCUCAGUUCGGAUCGGAGUCUGCAACCCGACUCCGUGAAGUUGGAUUCGCUAGUAAUCGCGCAUCAGCCAUGGCGCGGUGAAUACGUUCCCGGGCCUU
This 456-nucleotide ribosomal RNA is filed under the name uncultured Sphingobacteriales bacterium. RNAcentral describes it as "bacterial SSU rRNA". It matches the Rfam family "Bacterial small subunit ribosomal RNA", at positions 927 to 1382 of the family's 1533-position model. Lineage: Bacteria; Pseudomonadati; Bacteroidota; Sphingobacteriia; Sphingobacteriales. The record is from RNAcentral.